This is a non-coding RNA of Rhizobium sp. Pop5, 69 nucleotides long. NCBI's taxonomy places the organism in Bacteria, Pseudomonadati, Pseudomonadota, Alphaproteobacteria, Hyphomicrobiales, Rhizobiaceae. The record is from Rfam.
UGUCAAGCUUCUUCGGCAUCCUUUUGGGUGGUCAGAUUUCUUUUGCCUUGAAAAAAGGUGAGGGACAUG